This 253-nucleotide ribosomal RNA is filed under the name uncultured bacterium. RNAcentral describes it as "partial 16S ribosomal RNA". It matches the Rfam family "Bacterial small subunit ribosomal RNA", at positions 524 to 776 of the family's 1533-position model. The record is from RNAcentral.
UACAGAGGUGGCAAGCGUUGUUCGGAAUUACUGGGCGUAAAGGGCGCGUAGGCGGCCUUCUAAGUCAGACGUGAAAUCCCCCGGCUUAACCUGGGAACUGCGUCUGAUACUGGGAGGCUUGAGUAUGGGAGAGGGAUGUAGAAUUCCAGGUGUAGCGGUGAAAUGCGUAGAUAUCAAGUGGAACACCAGUGGCGAAGGCGAGUCUCUGGACAUUUCCUGACGCUGAGGCACGAAAGCCAGGGGAGCAAACGGG